This is a long non-coding RNA of Brassica rapa (field mustard), 4376 nucleotides long. RefSeq lists it as uncharacterized. The record is from RefSeq and is a predicted model, not a curated record. Lineage: Eukaryota; Viridiplantae; Streptophyta; Magnoliopsida; Brassicales; Brassicaceae.
GACUUAUUAUUAUCAACCAAAACUUGGGAUUAACAGGAAGCACAUGCUGGUUCGUAGAUAAAUACUAGUAUAAUACUAAUAGCGUGGUCGGUAGUUGAAGUAUUGAAGAGACUAGUGUUUUUUUGUAGUAUUAUAUAUCGUUUUCUAUAGCUAAUUAAAAACAAUAUUUAAUAUCUGAUAUAGUAAAUGUAUGAUGGGCACUUUAUAUAUUUGGUUCAAUAAUUCCGUGCUAUAGAUAUUAAUUUGAAAGGUGAUAUAGAAAUGAAAUAAAUGAAAGGGGACAUGCACAUGAUGUGGAAAUGGACAAAAACCAUACCGACUCACAAUUAUGAGAUAUCACAUGAUGAUGCGGACAAGUCAACGCUUCUUAUAUCUAGGCCUUACGUCACAAAUAGGCUGGGCUUAGCCCAGAAGACCAUGUUUAAAAAUACAAGCCCAGAACAAUUAACAAAUUCAGAAAAUAAGUUUUUCUUUGUUUUGUUUAUUCUAAACAGGCCCGUCUCUUUACUUUUUGAGGUUUCAUGCGAGCUGUAAUCAUCUAACAACACACGAAAUAUUUUGCAAAAAAAAACCAUGUGCAAAAACACGUCUUGCACUUACCUAGAAACGGACUUAAUUCUAAAGGAGGAUGGUUGGCAAGUUUCGCAGCCAUCUUCAGCGAUCUGUCAAAAUCUGCGGGAGCUGCGAAUUCAAUGUUGGCUUUCGUGCAGCCAUAUUGUCCAACAAGAUUGUCAUCUUCUCCAAGUCCUACUGUCCGUAUUUUUCAGUCCCUUUGAAUCUGAAUUUAAUUGAAGAGUAAUCCGUGUAAAGGUGUGAUUUUGUUCAGAGUCGUGCUUAUAGCCUUUAAAAAAAAAAGGCAUUUAACCUUUUUUUUUUUGGUCAAAAAGGCAUUUAACUAGGACCCCUAAUUUUGUAAAAAUUCCAGAGACCCUAAUUACAAAAAAAAUUUUUUACAUAGUACUUAAAAUAUUCUCUUAAUAACAUUUUUAUAUUUAUUUGAUUCAGAAUUUAACUUCUGUUUAAAAUAACUAUCAAUAUCUCUAUAUUUUAAAUAAAAUAAUAAAGAUUCUACUUCUAAAAAUUGCAAAUAUUUAAUCCACAUUUGUCUUCUUUUAUAUACUAUGAGUUAAUUUUAUUUUAUAUAUUUAUGGAAAUUUGGUAAAAAAAUAUGAAAUUUCGAAUAUAUAGUUUAUUAUAUUUAAUUUAAAUGCUAAGAUUUUUGUUUUUUUAACGGAUACCAACAUUUCAAUCCCAAAUUUGUAUCUUUGUUAUUAACUUACAAAUUCAUAUUUUUUAUCAUGAUUUUAAUUUUUUUAGUUUAUAACAUUUUUAUGAAGAAGAAUCAGAAACGUUGAUGUAAUAAAUUCAAAAAAAACUCAGUGUUAUAUAUAUAUAUAUAUAUAUAUACAUAUUUCAAAUGUUUAUAUGAUUCAAAUUUAAAUAAAACUAUUAUUAACAAUAUCAUGUAAAAUAUAUAUUUUUAACUCGUCUCAGGCCUCCAAAAAUCUUCGCACAGCACUGAUUUUGUUUGGUACAUUGCAUAUCUAUUGCUUUCGCUCGAAACGAAUUUGACUAAAAGGUUGAUUGUUUGUAGUUUUUGGAUUAGUUUUUGGUUUUUGUUUUUCCAAAAACCAUUUAGCAACCAAUCAAAAUUUUAAAAGAAUAGAUUCCCUAAAAUGUAGGAAAAUUAGUUUUUGCAAAUAACUGUUUUCUUAACACAAAAACCAAAAGCCAAGUUUUCAUAGUUUUUUUCUUAUCUUACGGUGGGUUUCCAAUUUUUUUUAAAUUGCUUUUAUUUUAUUUAUAUUUUAAUAUAAGAAAAAAAUAAAAAAUGAUAAUUACUGUAAUCAAAAAAGGUUUAGUAAGAUUCAUUUUCUUACUAUUGGUACUAUUUAUUAAAAUUCGUGAUAUAUAUUCUUGUAUUAAUUUUUUUUAAACAAGAAAUAAACUUCUAAAAUAAUUUUUUUUAAUAUCAGACCAAAAAAUCAUUAAUCCAAUUUUUGAGAAACCAGAAGGAUAAUAAAGUUUUAAAUUCCGAAUUCAAAAUAUAUUUAUAAUUUUAUACAGUACUUUCCUGAACUUAUAAAAGUACAUUUAAAUUUUAUUUAGUAUAUUUAAAUAAACUAGCUAUUGAUAUUUUUAUUUAUAAUAAUAUGUGAUUUAUAAAAUAUUUUAAAAAUACAACUAUUUUUUUUAACUUUUUAAUUAUGUAUUUUCAUUUUUGAACUGCAGUAAUUAUGUUGUCAUAUAUAUAUAUCAGAAUGGGGGAAUUUUACUUCUACACUUUCUUUGGUACCACAUUUCAAGUAUACCACUAGUAUGAAGACAUUUUCACAAAUACACUUUUCAUUAAUGACCAAAAGACCAUACUAGCCCUAACCUUAUCUCUCUCUCGCGAUCCUCUUUUCUUUCUCUCUCUCUCGCGAUCUUUUUUCUUCCUCUCUGCCUCCGAUUCACCGGAGAUCCACCAUCUCUCUCUCAUUCCACCGGUUCUCUGCGGUUCACUCUGCGGUUCACUUUGUCGACUCCUACUUCUGUACAAGAUUCCCAACUGGUAUGCAUCUAAUUUCUCCUUUUUUUGUUUGUGUCGAUUAAUUUUGCGAAAUUUCGAUUUUGUGGUUACUAUAGUCGAAAAUCAAACAAGAUUGCUUUAGACUUCUAAUCUGUACAUGUCGAUCUAAGAUAAACAAUUCUGAUUGUGAAAACAUUGAGUUUUGACAACUUAAGACCCUUUAUAACCCUUUGUAAAUCUGAGUUAUUUUGUAAUGUAAUUGAUAUGUUCAGUUCCUGAGAAGCUGUGUUCAAGCUUAUAUGAGAGCCACAAUCCUGCCAGCACACAUUUGCUUUAAUUGUUGGUGAAUGGUCGAUUCACAAUAAGAAAGUUGGCAGAAUCUGAAAGUUUUGUUUUUGGUUCUGCGUUUCUUAACAGUUGUGACUUACGUGUCUGUCUAGUACUCAAUGUAGCUCAAUAUGUUAAUUAUUUACUCUAAUCUCUUGCUUGUUUCUUGACCAUAAUACAACAAACAGAGCGGUAGAAUCCAAUGAGAUGUGGAAGACUCAGGAGCAAGAAAACGAAAGGCUCAAAAUAAAAUCAAGAGAGGAAAGCAGCAACAGCAGUAGCCAAAUGAAGUGGAGUAGUAGUUUCUCGAAAAGGAGUUUGGAUAAGAAAUGUAGCUCCAUUAACGAGGAGAGAAAGAUCACUCAUCAAUCAUCAUUGGACAAAAGAUUGUACUUGGAUGAUGAUGAUGAAGGUUUAGGAGAUGAUGAGAAUUGAGUCUUUUCUCCAAUCACGGAACAAACGUGGGAGAGGCUCUGUUGGUCCUAGGAUGGAUGAAAAUGUCCCUUAUCUUCCCACCGAGAAGGUUGAUCAAUUGCAAAGUUCUGAUACAAGGGAAAGGAAGGUAGUCUUGCUGCAGCUUGGGCUCUUGCUAAUCUAUAUUAUCUUGCAUGUUAGAAAGCUCUUAUAAGGGUUUAUAAAACUAUUUAUAAGAACUUAUAAAUCAUUUUUAAGGUUUUAAAAAUAUAUUUAUAAAAGUUUAUGAAUCUGUAUAUAAGGUUUGUAAAAAUAUUAUAAGAGUUUAAUAAUCUUCAUAACACAAUUUAUAAGAGUUAAUAAAUCUUUUUCAAGAGUUUAUAAAUCUUUACAAACAUUUAGAAGUAAAAUAUUCAUAAAGCUAUUAUAAGUGUCUAUAAUUCUAAUAUAAAUGUUUGUAAAUUAUUUAUAGUAAAUAAAAGAUUAUUUAUAAUGGUUUAUAAAACAAUUAAUAAGACUUUAUAAAAUCAGUCUAUAAGGUUUUUUAAAUAUAUUAUUAAAGUAUAAUUCAUUUAUAAGAGUUUAUAAAAUCCGUUUAUAAGGAUUAUAAAUAAUUAAUAAAUGUUUAUGAAUGAUUUAUGAAGAUUUAGAAAUCAUUUAUAAAUAUUUAUCAAUAGUUUAUAUAUAUUCCUCAUGUGGUGGAAAACAGCAAGAUGAUGUAGCAGAGGUUUGUGGGGAUAUUGAGUUUGCUGUAUAGUUCAUAGCUAAGAAUAAGAGCGAGUGUCUCCAAGAAGAAUGGGGAGUGUUGGGGAAGUCUCCGGAGGCGGCUUUAGAUGUGGAUCAGACGAUCUUCGUGGUUACGGCGGAAGACGUGGAGAGGAGCAAAAGACGGUGUUAUGGGCAGCAAGAAACUUCUCCAGCAAGAAGAUUUGCUUGCUUUACGUCCAUCGUCCUGCUUGGCCUGCCUCCUGCAGUGAGAAUCUUAUGCUUCUCUUUCUCUCUGACUUAACUAUUUUGUGGUGAAUUAUAGAAUAUUUAUGGAUGUUGAAUUGUUCUUGAGUGUAGAUUUGCUCAUGAAUCAUGAUUGAAUCUUACCGAGUCUAUAUAUAUAUCCUUUAGUUGA